This 649-nucleotide long non-coding RNA is filed under the name Ursus americanus (American black bear). Its description in RNAcentral is "lncRNA (ENSUAMG00000000453.1)". Lineage: Eukaryota; Metazoa; Chordata; Mammalia; Carnivora; Ursidae. The record is from RNAcentral.
AUGGCCAAAUAUAUAAAACAAGGUACUGUAUAUACAAAGAGGUUCUACCUUUUGUGCAUUAGUUUCCAUUCUGAUUUCUUCCUGCUUUCAGAGGUGUUUCGGGUUUGUGGGGGGGGGUUGCUUUGUUUUAAAUUUUAUGGUUUCUCCUUCCACAUAAAUCGUACCAAUCUGCCUCUCCCCAGCGCUGGUCCUCUAGACUUUUCCCCAUUCCGGCACCUUUCCUCAGAACUCACUGAGAACGGUCUUCCUCGUUGCUUUUCUUCCCUUCUUCCUCCCACUUCCUGCCUGGGCCGACCGCGCGGGCCGCGGGCCGCACCUGCAGGACGCGUUUCCAUUGGUGACAUCUUGGCGGGCCCGUCGGUGGCACUUCCUCCUUUACACCCCGUGACCCACGUCCGGCCCGCCGCCCUCAGUCACGCGGCCUCUGCCUCCGGGACGCAGCCCCGCGCGCCGGCCUUCCGGACUCUGGACCCGUCGUGGUUAAUAACAAAAGGCGACGCAUCUGGACUUUCCCCGGAGCCCUCUGCGUUUUUAAAGCGUCGGGUGGAAUUAGGGGUCCUUUGGCUGUAAACCGCGCUUAUUUGAUGAAAAUAGAAAUCAGUCCUGCUCCCCUCAGCGCCACAAAAAGCUGCACCCAAGCUUGUUUGAC